RNAcentral lists this long non-coding RNA (25592 nucleotides) under Citrus sinensis (sweet orange). RNAcentral's name for it is "long non-coding RNA (CSIN_LNC000948)". The record is from RNAcentral. Lineage: Eukaryota; Viridiplantae; Streptophyta; Magnoliopsida; Sapindales; Rutaceae.
AUGGAUAAGCUGGGAAUAUUAUGGCACCGGUUGCCCGUGUUUGUUGGUUUAUUUUAUCUGGGACCUCGGCGACACCUUCACCAGGAGUACAACUUGUUCAACGUCGGGGAAACCCCGGCAGGCGUUCGGUUUAAUCCGGGCGAUUAUCCGUACCCUACCGCCAAUGGCGAAUAUAACGAUCCCUUCAAUGAAGGUGCCGGCAGUGAAGGAACUUUCUUUGGCAGGAAUGUUCUCCCUGCUGAUAAAAAACACAAGGUAUAUACAUGUAUAUCCAACAAUAAUAUUAACAAUGAUACAAGUACAAACUAGUAGAAACUGUUUUACAAAUUUUCAUGAACAAUUUAAGGCGGCGGCUUACGUGACAUGAUGAAAUAAUUACUUAAAGUCAAGGCAGUUAAUGAAAAUAAUCAAUCCCUUAAACACUAUGUAAAUCGCCACUCAGAUUGUAUAAGAAAUUUUGUACAACAAUUUGUAGAUGUAUAAUAUUAUACACGCAAUCUACAAAUUACUUCCCCAAGGAUUUAACCAUAUGAUUUUUAGCAAUUUUAUUUAAUUAGCUACUAAAAAUCGAAUUAUAAAAUGGUAUGGCUAAAUAAUUUAUAUAUAUAUCAACUUCGCCUACCCUUCUAUCUCUAAAAAAUAAAAAAUCUACCAACUACUUAAAUUGACCCCAAAACAGUUGUUAAAUAUGAGUCCUGGACAGUAGACAGCGGGAAACAAAAGCCAAUUUAGAAUGAAGUCAAACAUUGAUUGGUUUGAUACAAUUAUAUUUGGUUUGUGGUUCAACUUAUCUAAAUAUUAUAUAUUAGAUUUUUGAAGCAUGAAUUAAGAUAGCAUCAUUCUUUUUCUUUUUAAUUUUCAGUAAAAAAUAUAAACAGAUUUUAUAGUAAAAAUAUAGUUUAUUAUUUCAUAGAAUUCAUUUUUUUUUAAACUCUUUUACACCUUAUUGGUUGUAGUAUGACAUUGGAUUGGAUUGGAUUGGAUUGUAGAUAAUGAUUUUAUCAUUAAGAAUAGAAUAAUUAAUUAACUAUUUCUACAUUUAUUCAACCAUUAAUUUGAAUAAAUUAGUACAAACGCAAACUAAUGAAAUAUUUAUUUAUUUUUUCAUUAUUGUGUGCAUUUUAUUCAAUUACUUAUUUAUAUAUUUUAUAUCAAUAUCAAAAUAAAUAAUUUUGAUUUUAUAGUUAUUUAAAUCAGCAUGAAAUUAAAUAUUAAAUAAUAAUUUCAACAAAUUAUUUUUUCAUCUAUAAAAAAGGGAAAAUGAUAAUUACACCCCCAAGGUUUAAGAAAAUGAUCAUGUACACCACCGAGUUUUCAAUAAGAGACACCAAAAUUUUUUCUUGACCACGAAAAUUUGGAUUUCAAAAAUUUUGAAUAAGUACAAAUAUAACAUAAAUGAAGUAUAUCCUCUAUUUGGAGGCUUAAAUAGGAACCCUUUGAGAACAUGGAAUAAGCUUAGAAUUUGAAAUUUUACUGUUCAAAUCAAAGUUUCGACCUGCAUCUCAAAGAAUUUUAUCAUUUUGAUUUUGAGGCAAUGCCCCAAUGGUAUAGAACAUUCACAUAAAACAUGUUAUAUUGAUUUUAAAAUUACAUAAAACAUCCUAUAAAUGUAAAAGCAUCGUUCAAGUACAGUAACAAUAAAAAUAUAUCUCGUAUUUUAAGUUCAAUCUAAUCAUGACUUUAAUUUGACGCAGCUACUGAAACCAGAUCCAGUCGUAGUUGCCACAAAACUUCUAUCACGGAGGAGUUUCAUAGACACGGGAAAGCAAUUCAAUACGAUAGCAGCUGCGUGGAUUCAGUUUAUGAUACAUGAUUGGAUUGAUCAUUUGGAGGACACAAAUCAAGUUUGUAAAUUUUAAUUAUUAUAUAUAUGAUUGGAUUGAUCAUUUAAGAGUCGACAGCCCCUUAUCAAUGCUUAGGUUUGGGGUUCGAAUAAUGAAGAGGGAGGGGGAUGAUUACAGAUUUUAAUAUGGGGUUUCCUGAAAGAAUUUAAAAAUACUGUUUAAAGAAGUUAUUUUCUUGGAAAUUAAAUUAAUAAUAAUAAUGGUAUGUAUAGGUUGAGCUGGAGGCGCCCAGAGAAGUGGCAGGCAAAUGCCCUCUUAGUUCUUUCAAAUUCUACAAGACAAAGGAGGUUCCAACCGGCUUUCAUGAAAUCAAACACGGGCAUUUGAACGUUCGUACUCCUUGGUGGUAAGAAAUCAUUGAUUAAUAACAGGACACGUUCAUGUAUAAAUCGAGAUUUAAAAUUGAACGAAUCGAUCAUAAAUUGAGAUUGAAUCGAUAUUGUUGAUGCACGUGCAUGAUGGGAUGGAAGUGCUAUAUAUGGAAGCAACGCAGAGAGAUUGCAUAAAUUGAGGACUUUCAAGGACGGGAAGCUGAAAAUAGCAAAAGAUGGGCUUCUUCUCCAUGACCAAAACGGAGUUGCUGUUGUUAGGGAAAAAUCAGGUUUUUAAUUUUUUAUAAAACCUUUUAAGGACCGCUCUCAUAUAAUAUAUAGGAAUACGUACUCCAGAAAUCGUACCUUGAAAAUCCGAUUUGGCUUUUUCCGAUGAAGUGAUUUAGGCUCCUAGAUCACAAUACAUUUAAUAGGGGACCCACCAUGUAAAAUAACAUAAGGCCCCUUACACAUAAGCUUAUUAAAUGGAGCCUCCCACUAAAUGAUAUAUUUAGGCUUUUGACCCAAAUAGCUAGUUAGCUUACUUAUUGUUUCUAUAGGGGACCCACCUUGUAAAAUAACAUAAGACCCCUUACACAAAAGCUAAUUAAAUGGAGCCUCUGACUAAAUGAUAUAUUUAGGUUUUUGACCCAAAUAACUAGUUAUCUUACUUAUUAGNNNNNNNNNNNNNNNNNNNNNNNNNNNNNNNNNNNNNNNNNNNNNNNNNNNNNNNNNNNNNNNNNNNNNNNNNNNNNNNNNNNNNNNNNNNNNNNNNNNNNNNNNNAGCUGCUGUACCGUACAUCCGCCUUGGCCGUACAGCAGAAAAGAUUGGAAUUGACUUCCAUAAUUGUAUGCUCGAAUAAUAAUUCGUUUCAAGCCACAUUGAUUUCUUUACUGCACAAUCCUUUGUACCAUAUCGUUAAUUAAAUUGAUAUCUCAACUGUCCAAUCAAUUUAAUGACAUCUUAUUCCUUGAUCCUUACUGGUUUUCUCUAAUGAUCAUUUUCAACAUACUAAAUAUGUUGACACACUCUGGCCAGAGAAUUCUAUGAUCAAGUACCGAAAACCUAUCAAGAGAUGUGUUGUACAAAUUCUAUAUUGUUAAUCCAUAACUCCAAUACUCAUAAUUGCUCCCACCAAGAUACCGGGUAAUCUUGACCACAAGGAUGUGUCGUGCCCAUUGGUAACUCAAAUGAAAUAAUAAUUACAAUCAUGAAAUCAUAAUUAACUAAAGAUUAAGAUUACAGUAAAAUUAACGCCUAUGAGAUUUUAAUAAGUCUGACAGUUAUUACAAAGUUAAUUAAAUCUCAUAUGUGAUCAUGUUCAAUGUAGUCGUACUACAUCAAUAAAUUCAUACAUGAUUAAGACAAAUCAUUCAAUGAAUUUAUUACAGUCUAUACCUAAAUAAAGUGCCCAACUUUAUUUAUCAACUGCAAACUAAAUUUAUUUAAUCAUAAGAUAACUUGUAUUUAUGUAUUCUGUGAAUCCACAUGGUGAUCACAUAAAUACAUAUAAUAUGAUUAAAUGGACUUUAAUACAAAUAUUAAUGCAAUUAAGAUAUUUGAAUAAAAUACCUCAUUAAUUUUAUUAAUCAGAAAAAAUAUUUAUUACAAUUAAAUAAACACAUAUACUUUUAAAGAGCAUAUUUUUCCAACAGCUGUAACAGGAGAUGUUCGCAAUACUUGGGCUGGUCUCUCAACGUUACAGGCUCUUUUCGUUAAAGAGCACAAUGCGGUUUGUGACGCCCUCAAGGUUCGUGUGUAAAAUUAAUUGAAUAAAUAUACGCACAUCCCUUGUUAACUAAAAAUAUUAUUACAAGUUAUCGUUGAAAUUUGCAUGAUAUUUUAAUUUUCCAAUUUAAUUUUCAGAAGGAAUAUCCAGAUUUGGGAGAUGAAGAGCUUUACCGCCAUGCAAGGCUAGUGACUUCAGCUGUGAUUGCUAAAGUUCAUACUAUCGAUUGGACUGUGGAGCUCCUCAAAACCGACACCCUGCUUGCAGGGAUGCGUAUCAACUGGUAAAUUACUUUUCAACAAUGAAGCAUCAAUUGCUUUAUAGCGACACCCUUGAUUUGACAAAAUGAUCAUUUAAACUCCUUUAUUCUCAGAUGAUUGCGUAUACCUUGUAAGAGAAUUGUAUUACUUGACCACAAUGAUCCAAUACUGUAAUUUACGAGGGCACUGUUAUCUAACAAAGUGUUUCUUUUUCUUUUCCCAGCAUAUGUGAUAUUAAUGUUAUGAAUUUAAUUAAUUUUUUUUAAUAUAUCCUGUGCAGGUAUGGAAUUCUGGGAAAAGAAAUUCAAAGACACAUUUGGGCACGUUGGAGGAGCCAUCUUGGGAGGCUUUGUAGGCAUGAAGAAGCCUGAAAAUCAUGGGGUCCCUUACUCAUUGACCGAGGAAUUCACCAGCGUUUACCGCAUGCACGCGCUUCUACCAGAUACCCUUAAUCUCAGGGACAUCGAUGCUCAACCGGGACCCAAUAAAUCUCCUCCGUUGGCUGAGAAGUAAGCAUAUGUAUUAUUAUAUGGAUCCCUCUAAGUUACAUGCAUGUACCUUACAACCCUCUCACAUGAAUAAUAUCCAUACACUAUUCAUGUGAGAGGGAUGUAAGGUACAUGCAUGUAACUUAGCAUUACCCUUAUUAUAUAUAUGGUAACUAUUCUCAAAUCCACACUUUAUAAAAUACAGUUAUCUAUUUACAGUGCUGUACAAACAACCUAAAGUAGUGUACACCAUUUCUAUCACUAUAAAGGAGUGAAUAUACGCUUUUUAAGGUUCAAACAUCUGUACCUAAAAAUGCCUCUCGCAUAAGUGAUUAUAUCUUUAUUAAUUAAUUUAUUUGCUUGCUUGUUCGAAAAGGGUGCCUAUGGAAAAUUUGGUUGGACACAAGGGAGAAAAGGCCUCAUCAGACAUUGGAUUUGGGAAGCGAAUAGUUUCAAUGGGUCACCAAGCUUGUGGGGCAUUGGAGCUUUGGAAUUAUCCUCUCUGGCUAAGGGACCUUAUUCCGCAAAAUACGGACGGCACGGAUAGGCCUGAUCAUGUGGACCUACCAGCUCUUGAAGGUAAUAUAUAUAUCAGAUGAUAAUCUCAACCGUUCAUUUCAUGAAGUGAUUGAUAGCUCGUGGCAGGCAAGGUAACUAAUCAAAAUUGGCUGCUUAUGAUGAUGCAUGCGUGCAGCAUACAGGGACAGGGAGAGAAAAGUUGCUAGGUACAAUGAGUUCCGUAGAGCUCUGCUCUUAAUUCCUAUCUUCAAGUGGGAAGAUCUGACGGAGGAUAAGGAAGCGAUUGAAGUGCUUAAUGAAGUGUACGGUGACGAUGUUGAAGAGCUUGACCUUCAAGUAGGCCUCAUGGCAGAGAAAAAGAUAAAGGGUUUCGCUAUCAGCGAGACCGCUUUUGUAAUCUUCCUAUUGAUGGCAUCCAGGUAAUUAACUACUAAACCAAGCGCUAAUGUUAAAGAAACAGAACUCCACAGAUAUUAAGACAAAUUAUAUGAUCGAUGAGAUAUUAUUGAAAUGUGUGAUGUGGCAUCCAUAUAUUUGCAGGAGACUUGAAGCCGACAGGUUCUUCACAAGCAGUUUCAAUGAGGAGACGUACACGAAGAAAGGACUUGAGUGGGUGAACACCACGGAGAGCCUGAAGGAUGUAUUGCAUCGUCAUUAUCCUGAAAUUACAGAGAAAUGGAUGAACUCGACAAGUGCUUUCUCCGUCUGGGACUCACCUCCAAAUUCUCACAAUCCCAUCCCUCUUUAUCUUCGCGUUCCUCAGUGAACCUCCAAAUUAAUUAUGAAGCCACGCACAUAUUUGUUACGUACGUGCUAAUUAAUUCGAACCCUUUUAAUGUAUUUGUUUCAUUUUUCGUUGAUUGCCUUGGGUUAUUAUUCUUUAUGUACUUCAUUGUUUCUGUAUCUCGUAAAGUUGUUUGUGACAAACACCUUAAUUUCAUUGAUGUGGGUUUGAGGUUUUCAAAAUAUGUUAAAAAACUAUUACAUUGAUGUAAAUUGCUGAAAAUUAUUUUGAAACAUUGUAAAAUCUCGAAUCAAAAUUUUUUAAAAAUAUGAACAUCUGCAUUAUGAGACUAUAUAUAUAUAUAUAUAUAUAUCAACCUAACUCAGAUCUGGUAAAGACACUCCUAAAAUUGACAAAUCGCGCUUCAAAGCAAGAUAGAUCUCCAGAUCUACCAAAGAAUCUAAUUAAUAUUUGGUAAAGCACACUAAUCCGGUAUAUCGGCUGGAAACCAGAACGUGCGGACUAUUGAUCUGUUCUAAGUCAGAUCUGGGUCCAAAGGCAGAUUAGGUUCUGCAUCGAUCUUUCUGCUGUACCGUACAUCCGCCUUGGCCGUACAGCAGAACCUUAACACUAGGGUUGGGCAAAUAACCCGACCUGAUCCGACCAAAAAAAAAUGGGGUUCGGAUUAGAUUGGGUUAUUAACCUAACCCAAUUGAAUUUAAUUUAGCCAACCCGGUCGAAUCGAGUGAAAAUCCAAUCCGAAAAUCCGAUCGGAUUUGGCUAUUGAAAAAAAAAAGAAAAAAAUCAAAACACACACACCCAAGAGGUGCAAAACACACACACUGACAAACACCCACCACCCCACCCCCUCCAUACAGUGUAUGGCAUACACACACUGACAGAGCCACACACACACACAAAAUCACACAAAGAUAGCCUUUACUCACACUUCAUAGCCUCAUGCUUCACUCUCCUCUUUGGUUCUUUUGCAGUUUUCACUCUUCAAUCUUCACAACCCCGCUUUCUUCUUUUUUAGCCUUCACUCUCCAAUUUUCACAAAUCGGGUUUCACAAAUCUAGUUGUAGUCACAAAAGUAAGCCGAUGCUGACGCAAAGACGUAGCACAACAACCAACGAUCAUUUGCAGACACAACCACUAGGUUUGUGGUUCCAUCCAUCACCAAGUUUCUCACCUCCAUGCUCCACUUGAACCCAACUACCCAACUUCUCCAACCUGGCAACCCGAGCCUUGUGUUUUGAAAUUUUGAUGGUAUUUCUUGAUGUUGUGAUUAUUAUCAUAUAUAAAUUGUAAAAUUUUAAUGUUCACUAGCUAAUGAUAAAGAAAACCAGUGGUAAAGAAAGCUAUAAUGUAUUAAUUUUUUCCAAUGAUGGGCAUAAAUUUUUCAUUUCCCAAUCCAAACCAUUUUUAAUACGAAUUUGAUCCAAAUCGAACUCAACCCGAUUUUUUGACCCGAUCCGAUCGAAUCCGAUCCAAAUAUAUAUUCGAAUCGUGUCGGAUCGGGUUAUAAGUCUAGAUCGAAUUCGGAUAGAUUUCUACCCAACCCGAAAUUCGAUCGGGUCAAGCCGAACCUGAUCCGAAUCCGAUUUUGCCUAGCCCUAUCUUCAUGUGUGUAUAUUUGCGUGUGUGUAUAUAUUUAUUCUUAGAUUUAAUUAUGAUGACCCUUCACAUGAGGAUGAUUAUCGGGGGUAAAACAAGAUAGGAUAGGUUCGAGAGGAUAAUAUAUUUAGCAAGACGGGAGGGGAAUUAUUUUUUUGAUAAAAAAAAGGUAUACGCAAAAUAAACAUUUUUAUGGUGUGUGUUUACUUAUUGGGAAUGAGAAUGAGAAUCAAGGAAUGUGAAUGAAUAAUGUGUUUAUUUGCUAAAAUGAAAGAUGAAAUGAGAAUUAAAGUGGUAGACCCCAUCUAAAAUUAGGAAUGAUUACUGGAAUUCUCAUUCAUAUGGGGGAGGUGGGAAUGGGAUUCGCAUUCCUUAAAGUGACCAUAUUACAUUCACUUAAAUCAUGAAGUUUCCAUUUUAUCCUUCCUUAUAUUAUUAUGAUGAUGAUGAUGAUGAUGAUGAUGAUGAUGAAAAAUUUAUUGUUGAUGAUGAUGAUGAUAAAUUGUUACUAUUAAUAUUAAUUAUAGUUAUUAAUCACUACAAUUAGUACUUUUUAUUAUUGCUAGUGAUCAUCAUCAUCAUCAUAAUAAUAUAAAUAAAUAAAUAAAUAAAUGUUAUUGUUAUAGUAAUUUUAUUAUUAGUAUUAAUUAUAAUGGAUAAUAAUUAUAAUAUUAUUGCAAAUAUAAUUAUAAUUACUACUACUACUACUACUACUAUUAUUAUUAUUAUGACGAUGACGACGACAAUAAUAAAUUAAGAUCAGUUUAAUAACUUAUAACUAUCAAUUCCAAUUCCAAGAUAAAGUAAACACAUUAAUGGCAAUAAAGUUCAUUACAAUUUUGAUUUCCAUAGUUAAAGUAAACAAUUUAUUAUGAUUCCCAUUCUUCAUUCCGAUUUUAGCCCAUUUCGAUUUCACUCCAUUCUGAUUCCAAUCCAUUCUGAUUACUGAUUAGUGAACACAUCAUUAGUGUCCUGAUUGUGUACAUACGAUGGGAUUAGAAGUAACAAACUUUUACCCGUUCUGGCACAUUGUCAAAUGUAUCAUCUAAAACUAAAAAAUUUAUUAAUUUAGCAAUAUUAAUAUACCGAAAAAGUAAUAAAUUAUUAAUUUAUGAAAAAAUUCCUUAAUUUUGGAAAUUGUAAUCAUGUUUCUAGUCUUUACAUACCUUGAUCUAGUAUUUGUUAUGUUUUAUUUGAAUAGUAGUUAGUUGUCUUGAGUAGUAACUAGAUUAUUCUAGAGUUUUUAUUUUUUCAUAUUAAAGAUGGCAGAUAGAGCUCGUCUCGUAGUUGUUAGAAAACAACAAUGUAAAUUGAAAUUUCACAUUACAAAAAGAGUUAGAGAUGAGAUUUAAUUUCAAAUUAAUUUCAAGAAACAACAAACAACAUUAAGGGCCAGUUUGGGAAUGUUGUAGCUUUUAAAAUAAUUGUUGUUAGCUGUGUUGUAUAAAUAAUCAGCUGUGAAGAAAAUCAGUUAAGCGUUUGGUAAAUUUUGUUUUCAGAAGUACUGUGAGUUUUGAAAGCAGUUAUGGAUGUUUGGUAAAUUUUACUGGUAAACUGCUGAGAGAAAAUAAAUGACUAAAAUAUUCAUAAUACAAGAUUAAAUUUACUUAUACAUAUAAAAAUAUGUACAUAUAAUAUUUUUAAUUGUGUAUUAUAAUAAUUUUUACUAAAAAUAAAAUUUAUAAUUUAUUGAUUUUACUUUUUUUAUUUUUUUAUCUUAAAAAAAAUUGAUAAUUAAAUUAAUAAUAUAGUGAAACAAAUUUAAUAAUAAUUCGACCAACAAAUUGAUAUUAAUAAAUUUAUAUUGAUGAAUUAAAAUAAAAAUUUAUUAAAAUAUUUAUUUUGUUUCUAAUUUGAAUAAGGAUAAUUUUGGGUUUAGUUAAUAAUUUUGAGGAUAUUUAUAGAAUUGUAUUAAAGGAUAAAAUUGAUUCUUAAAAUCAGAAUCUAAAAGUUACUCCUUCACUGCUUUUCAAAAUCAGCUGUGGAGGGGCUGAUUUUGACAAAAGUGAUUUUGAUUUUUUUUUACCAAACACUAAAAUUAGCUUUUAGAUUUUCAAAAUCACUUUUAAGUCUCUUAAAAGCAAUCCCAAAUGGGCCCUAAAAAUAUAUUUUGCAAAAGCCAAACAUGACAUAUCUCUUGGAUUAAUUUAGUUUCAAAUUUGGCAAUUAUAAAUUUAUAUAGUAGGUGGAUCUUAUAGGAAAAUAUGAUUUUUUUAAAAUUGUUUAUCUUAUAAAUUAAUCAAAUAAUUAAUUUACCACAUUGACCGUAGUUAGGCCCAAUAAAAAUUAUUUAAUCAAGUUAUCGAGAUUAUCAAUUUAUUAAGAAUUAAUUUAUCGAUGUUCCACUAUAUUAACUAAUUAUCGUCAUAUUUUUCGUUAUCAAUAAUAACUUUUUUGUAUGGACAUUCUCAUCUCUCUGCAAAAUCACUUAUACUAUUAAAGAUUUAAGACGUGCCUAAACCCUAAUAAAAUAUAGGUCCGCCUAAGUUACGUUUAAUGUAACUUACGGCUUGGCCCUAAAAUUUUGUCCAGCCCCCUAUACUUUAUGUUAUUUAUAAUUUAUUCAUAAAUAUUAUAAAACUUUCUGAAUUGUAAAAUUACGUUUAACUCCUUACAUUCAAUUUUAUUUUAUUGAAACCUUGAAGUAUGAAUUCGUUAAUUUUCUCUUGAUCACAAAACUUUUCGAACUUUUUUUGCUUUGAUGUUCUAUUAAUGGUGCCAUGCCAAAAUGUUUAGACAACACCAAAAGUGGCAAUGGAAAUUGGUGUGAGCUUCAUUCACAAAAAUAUUGAUACUGUUGCAUAUCAAUUAAAAAGUAAGUCAUUGGGAGAGUUACUAUAAAUACACCCAUUGAAACUCUUAGCAUCAUGGGGCUUUUUUUGCAACCGUUAAUUGGCUCCAUAAAUUCUAUUACAUAAAAGAAGUAGUAGGGACUUGUGACUCUAAUUGCUCCCUCAAAGUCGUUUCCUUAUGAUUUACAAUUCACAAAAAGAAUGUAAUAAAUAAAUAAAUGUUUAACUCGCAUAUACAUAUAAAUAUGUGAAUACGUCAAAUUGUUUAAAGUUCUCCAUCAAUCUUCUCUUUAUAUUGUUAAAAAAAUAUAAUCAUCUAUUUAAAAAAUAUAAUUAUAUUUAUUAUUAUAAUAAAAUAAUAAUUAUUAUUAUAAUUUAUUUAAUAAUUAUUAUAUUUUUUAAUUAAAUGGAGGUUAUUUUGAGAAUUUAAAAUUAUAGAGGGGCAAAUUCGUACUCUAGGAUUUCAAUAAAAUAAAAUUGAGUGUAAGGGGUUACACGAAAUUUUAUAAUCCAAAAAAUUUUACAAUAUUCAUGAAAAAUUAUAAAUAACUAGAGUAUAGGGGGCUGAACAAAAUCUUACAGCCAAGCUGUAAGUUACAUUCAACGUAACUUAGGCAGACCCAUAAAAGACUAUUAUCAUAAUAACGUCACAACUAGCAGUUAAAGAUCUCAAUCUAGCAGACAGCAACUCGCUCCAGAUCUUCAAAUAAAUAUUGAAAAACAAGAUUAUUAACUUCACCAUCUUAUCUAAGUUCAAGAAGGAAUCGAUAUUCUAUUCAAAAUCCUGCAAGUGAAUGUUUUGCUAAUUAAAUUUAGAAUUUCAAUUAAAAAGCAAGUCAUUGGGGGAGUUACUAUAAAUACAUUCAUUGAAACUCUUAGCAUCAUUGGGCUUUUUUUGCAACCCUUAAUUGGCUCCAUAAAUUCUAUUACAUAAAAGAAAUAGUAGAGACUUGUGACUCUAAUUGCUCCCUCAAAGUCGUUUCCUUAUGAUUUACAAUUCACAAAAGGAAUGUAAUAAAUAAAUAAAUGUUUAACUCGCAUAUACAUGUAAAUAUGUGAAUACGUCAAAUUGUUUAAAGUUCUCCAUCAAUCUUCUCUUUAUAUUGUUAAAAAAAUAUAAUCAUCUAUUUAAAAAAUAUAAUUAUAUUUAUGAUUAUAAUAAAAUAAUAAUUAUAAUUAUAAUUCAUUUAAUAAUUAUUAUGUUUUUUAAUUAAAUGGAGAUUAUUUUGGGAAUUUAAAAUUAUAGGGGGGCAAAUUCGUAUUCUAGGGCUUCAAUAAAAUAAAAUUGAGUGCUAAAAAAUAUAAUAAUUAUUAAAUAAAUUAUAAUUAUUAUUUUAUUAUAAUCAUAAAUAUAAUUAUAGUGUUUUAAAUAGAUGAUUAUAUUUUUAAAAAAUAUAAUCAUCUAUUUAAAAAUUGAUGAUUUGACAUACUCACAUUAUGCGAUUAAUUUGUUUAAAGUUCUUCAAUAGUGCACCACUUUCUCCAAUGACUUCCAUUAAUUGCAAUUAAUUUUCUCUUGAUCACAAAACUUUUCGAACUUUUUUUGCUUUGAUGUUCUAUUAAUGGUGCCAUGCCAAAAUGUUUAGACAACACCAAAAGUGGCAAUGGAAAUUGGUGUGAGCUUCAUUCACAAAAAUAUUGAUACUGUUGCAUAUCAAUUAAAAAGUAAGUCAUUGGGAGAGUUACUAUAAAUACACCCAUUGAAACUCUUAGCAUCAUGGGGCUUUUUUUGCAACCGUUAAUUGGCUCCAUAAAUUCUAUUACAUAAAAGAAGUAGUAGGGACUUGUGACUCUAAUUGCUCCCUCAAAGUCGUUUCCUUAUGAUUUACAAUUCACAAAAAGAAUGUAAUAAAUAAAUAAAUGUUUAACUCGCAUAUACAUAUAAAUAUGUGAAUACGUCAAAUUGUUUAAAGUUCUCCAUCAAUCUUCUCUUUAUAUUGUUAAAAAAAUAUAAUCAUCUAUUUAAAAAAUAUAAUUAUAUUUAUUAUUAUAAUAAAAUAAUAAUUAUUAUUAUAAUUUAUUUAAUAAUUAUUAUAUUUUUUAAUUAAAUGGAGGUUAUUUUGAGAAUUUAAAAUUAUAGAGGGGCAAAUUCGUACUCUAGGAUUUCAAUAAAAUAAAAUUGAGUGUAAGGGGUUACACGAAAUUUUAUAAUCCAAAAAAUUUUACAAUAUUCAUGAAAAAUUAUAAAUAACUAGAGUAUAGGGGGCUGAACAAAAUCUUACAGCCAAGCUGUAAGUUACAUUCAACGUAACUUAGGCAGACCCAUAAAAGACUAUUAUCAUAAUAACGUCACAACUAGCAGUUAAAGAUCUCAAUCUAGCAGACAGCAACUCGCUCCAGAUCUUCAAAUAAAUAUUGAAAAACAAGAUUAUUAACUUCACCAUCUUAUCUAAGUUCAAGAAGGAAUCGAUAUUCUAUUCAAAAUCCUGCAAGUGAAUGUUUUGCUAAUUAAAUUUAGAAUUAAAUAAUCAAUAAAGAAACAAAGCCACCGUAAAGCAAGGUAUAUUACAAAAGAAAAGUCUUCUUCUAUGUUCUAAAAAUUGAAUAUUGGCAACUGGCAAUUUGGCACAUGGUCUACGAUUUGCACAUAGUCUGCGAUUUGCUUCACCUCUACUUAGUUCAUUUUAUUUAUUUAUUUAUUUAUUUAUUUAUUUAUUUAUUUUGCAUGUUUUUAAAGAAUUUCGCGGCGGCUAGCCAGCCAGCCACGUUCUGCGCCAUCCAAGUUUUUCAGUGAAUAUUGUCUUUUUGGACACGGGUUCUUCCAUUUGAAUUAUUUAAUCGCAUGUUCUCUAUUAUUAUCCAAGAAUGAAAAACGUGCAAGGUAGAAACUAUUACAUUGGUCGUUUGAUCUUUUUAAUGAGAGAAUUAGCUAAGCCUUACAAGGGAAAAUGCCAAAUUGGCAACUGAUAAAGCGUAAUUUAUUCUAUAUGAAGUCAGGGAUUUCGUAUUCUAUACGGAUUAUGGCUUAUUGUUUUUAAUCUUCAAGGUAAAGAUGCAUGACUUAUUUUAAGGUAUCUACGUCGGCCAUGACUACCUUGCAUCAGUGAUUACGUACCCCAACUUUUGUCUUUACCAAACUUACCACUGGAUAUUAAUUACCUAAUGGCUUAGAAAGAUACACGUAAGGAAAUUAACCUGAUGAGCAGGUUGGAAGCCGGUCAUCAAAAGUCUUACAAUUGUUUUGCACAAAAUUCCAACUAAUUGAUUAGAAAUUGUUAACAACUAACACAAUCUAGAACGAAAUAACCCGUCACAUGCGUGUUUAGGUUUGCAAACUACUCUUUGCAUCCAUGCUAGAAUCCGUUGGACAAAAAUUUACGUGUAAUGUUAUAGAAAACUUUCUUGAAUAAGCACAAAUAAUCAAUCUAUUUACUCCCUAUAGGUAAAAGUAAAAACCUCGGCUUUGGUUACAUAUAUUCAUGACAUAAAUUAAAAAAAGACUCUAGUCAUUAUAAUGAAAAUUCAAUUUUUACCGUAAUCGAUCCUCCAAGCCCUUGAGGAGAUCGUUACAAGUAAUUUAAGAAUUUGUUUAUAGAAUAAAAUCAAAAGUAAUUCAUUUAUAGUGUUGAAUCCGCAGGAAAUCAGUAACAACAUCUAAGUAUCAAGUUUGUGAAGUUGUGUGCCUAAGCCAAAACAGUAUUAGGGACAUAACUUUUUAUAAUCUUAAUAAAAUUAAUAAUAUUUAUAUUAGCCCCCACAAAAGUUCAUGUAUAUAAAUAAGAUAGUUCAUAGUAGACUCAAUAAAUAAUGUUUUGUAUAAUAUUUGUUUUAAUUUAGUCUGGGUUAAAAUAAUUUCAUUGAUUUGUAAAAAUGACAAAUUCAUCCAAUCACUUUUAGGGAGGACUUAUGUUGUCUUAUAUUAUAUUUUGCCGUUGUUAUAUCAUGCAUGCAUUAAUUGGUUGUAAUACAUUAGAAGUAUUUUAGAAUUUUUCAUUAAAUAGAUUGGAUUGAAUGGUAAAUUUGUAUUUUUGAGGAUUAUAGGUAAAUAUGUAUUCUCAAUAAAUAAUGAAAGAAAAGCAAUUUGUUUGAACUUUAGCUAAUCAAAGUUGGCUACUAGACAGGCUUCAAAGUUCCAUCAUCAUUUCAACAUCUCAUUAAUGAGGAAUUUUAAAAUAUAUUGGAGGUAUCAUAUCAAUAAUAUAACAAAUAAAUGAUGUUAUGUCACAUGUUCAUUUAUUUUGAAAAACUAAAAUGAAAGUGGUAGUUAUAUUAAAUUAAAUUGAUGAGCAUUAAAUGACAAAUAAAUUUGUGAAAUUAUUUUGGGAAAGAACUAUAAUUUUGUGAAGAAAAUUAUUAUAGUUGCCUUCAUUAAAAGAUCAUCAUCAUUAUCUUUACAUUCACCUCCUGUCAGUGAAAUUGAAUUAUUGAUGUCCACGUGUUACUCUCUUAUUGGCUGCUGUUAAGUAAAGUUGUUUGAAAAUCACUUGUUUAGACCCCUAGGGAAUUAUUGAUUAUAAUAAAUAACAUUCUUUUAUUAACUAGUUAAGUAAAUGAUAAUUAAUAUGUUGAAUAUAUAAAACACCUUCUUCAUUUUUUUCUAACAUAGUUUCUUCAGUUAACAAUUGAAUAAAAAUGUUUUAUUUUAAAUUAAUGAUUAUUCACCAAUCCCAAUAGUUAUGAUAUUGGUAAUUGUAUGAUUAAGUCUUGUUCGAGACUUGAGAAUAUAAUUGCGUUAAUUAUUUGUUGGGAGAGUUUUGCUACCUUAGUGGUCCUACCCAGCUCAAAUUUGGAUUAGUUAGGGUCUAAUAUGAUAUUCAGAUAUCAGAUGGUUUAAUACACAAAAAAAAGUCUUAUUUCUAUAGAUGACUGAAAAUUCUAACAGCGUCAAGUGAAAUAAGGAUGAAAAGGCUAUACACACACAUAUAUAUAGUUAUAUAGUUACUUUUUUAUUAGAAUAUUAAGUUAUAGCUAGUUACUUUGCAAUAACUGUUAUAGUGUUGCAAAAUUUACAGAGCUAAUAUUUUAUGUAAUAAUUAUAUACUUUUUUUCUUUUUAACCUUAACGCCUAAAAUAUUAACUCUAUAAAAUUUGACCAUCCUAGAAUUUCAAUCCUCUUCGGCCAUGACGAUAGCUUGAAUUUCAUCUGAAGGAGCGUGAACUCUUCCUACUAAAAUGAGGGUAAUGUUCAUCCAACUAUCGAAUUAUUAUGAUUCCAAACAUGUAAUUACCCCUCAAAUAUUGUUGUUGUUAUUAUUAGAGGCUAACAUUAAUAUGUUUUAUAUAUACCACAAAUAUAAAGCAUCUAAUAUUUGAUAUUUUGAAAUAAAACUCACAAACAAUCUUUUAUGCAAAUUAAUUCAUACAAACUUAUGUAAAAUUAAUUACUUUAUUUAAUCUUUUUUGUUAUAAUAAUUUUUUUGUUAAACAUUAAUCAAAUUCAUAAUGGUACAUGACAUGGAUAAUUACAAUUUAAAUGCAACUAAUAUUGAAUAAUGUUAUAUUAUAUUGUACUUACAGUUAUAUAAUUUAAGCAUGGCAAUUAUAUUUCUAAAUUAAAUCAAAUUAUUUGAGUAAUACUGCACUCACUAGAUAGUUACAUGAUUUGUAAUUUGGUAUAAUGAAUGAUGCGCAAUUAUCACAAAAAUUGUUCAAUCUUACAUUUAUAUCCAUAUUUUUCUAAAAUUAAGUUAAUUUAUAUAACAACUAAAAAUAAUAAAAUUAUAUAAAACCAUAUAAAAAUAUAAAAAUUAUAUAUCCAUUUUCAUAUUAAGUAGUAUGUUUGACUAAAUUUACUUUUGAAACUCUCUGGAUGUACGGUACAGCAGAUAAUCUUAUGAAUCUAUUUUUAUUUGUGCAUGUUGAACUUGUUAUAAUCUUAUCUUAUGCACAGUGAAAAAUGUUUUCGUUGUACUUCUAACUAAAUUUUACAUAUAUAAUUUUAUUCUAGUGGUAAAAGGAAUUGAAUUUGAAUCUGAUUUUUUUUCAAUAUAGCUUAAUAACAACUAAAUUUGUGCCCAUAGAUUCAAACCUCAACUGUUUUGUUUUGAACUCAAAUGAUUUACAACUAAAUUAACUGAUAGCCAUAAUUUGAUUAUUAAUAUAUUUACAUAGUAGUGUAUCUCAUCUAUAUUAAAUUAUUAAUAUAGUUGUAAAUAAUUAAUUUUAUAUCAACAAAAUAUAUACAUAUAUAUACAUACAUACAUAUAUAUGUGUAUUAUGUAAAAUUUUCACAUAAAAAAGUUUUAUCUUGGCGGGUAAAAAUGAAAAUAUUAUUUACCAAAUUACAAAAAUGAAUUUUGAGAUUUUGAAUGGUUACAACAAAUCAAUCUAUGGAAGUUUUAUUAUUCAUCAAACUUUUAUUAUCUUUUUUAUUAAUUUGAAAACUUUCAUAUUUUUUUUCCAAUUUCUACUAAUAAUAUAAAUACUCACAUUAUGACAUUUCUUUGGAAACCCUAGCCGCUCUCCUUAAACCAUCAAAGACGCUCACUCACGUCAAACCCUCACAAGCCAACAAGCGAGCAGUUGCCGCCGUCUUCAUUCCUACGCCCAUUACGGUCCUAUGUAUCAGCAUUUGAAAUUUUGAAUAUUGUUUAUUGCUUCGCAGAAUUAUUUUCUAAUAUCAUUUGGUUUUCUUUUAUACAUGCAGAGACCCUUAUGAUCUAACAGCAUCUGAAAUCUAGCUUUUGAAAAUUGUAAAUUGAUUUAGUUUUGUAUUGGUUUUAUUUGAUGCUAAAAGUUUUUAAAAUUAUUUUCCCGCAAGCUUGUAAAAAGUUCUCAUAUACCUAUUUGGAUGAAUGGAAGUUUUUAUUUGAUUAAUAUUUUUAUGCACUGGAUAAAUUAAUAGGGCAUUGUAAUUUCAUUUACAAACAAAUGCCAACAAACCAUUUAAAAAAUAAUAAAAAUACGCCAAAAUUAUAAUCUUAUGUUAUAACUGCUGGGUUAUAUUUUUUUAAUGCCAUAUUAGUCAUGAUAAAAAUUGAAGAACUCUUUUAGUUGAGUCCUAAAUAAUUGUAUUUCUAGUUAAGUCCUAAAAAUUGAAUAACUUAUUUUGGUAAAUGGAAAAUUAUAGGGAUAUUUAAACGAGAAUGAUACUAAAGCUUAACCAAAAUUGGGAACUAAUUUAACAAAAAAAAUUAUUUCGGUAUUUAACCCAAAUAAAUGAAAUCUUAUCAAAUUAAUUGGAAUAUUGAACACAAAACUAGUGGAAUAAUAAUUGAAACGUAUAAACCCACAAGGAAGAAAGUGUAACCAAAAUUAGGAACAUACUUAACCAAAAAUAAAAUUACGAAAAAUAAAUUCGGUACUUAACCCAAAUAAUUGGAAUCUAUUUAAGUUAAUGGGAAUAUUCAACACAAAACUAGAGGAAUAAUUAGAUGAAACAUUUGAACCAAUAAGUGAGAAAAUCUAACGAAAAUUAGGAACUCAUCCAACGGGAAAUGAAAAUUACUUGGAAUCUAACCCAAAAUAUUGGUAUUGAACGAACUUAGUAGGAAUACCUAACACAAAACUAGUGGACUAAUAAUUUGAAACAUGUGAACCUAAAUAUUAAAAAGCUUAACCAAAAUUGGGAACUAAUUUAACAAAAAAAAUUAUUUCGGUAUUUAACCCAAAUAAAUGAAAUCUUAUCAAAUUAAUUGGAAUAUUGAACACAAAACUAGUGGAAUAAUAAUUGAAACGUAUAAACCCACAAGGAAGAAAGUGUAACCAAAAUUAGGAACAUACUUAACCAAAAAUAAAAUUACGAAAAAUAAAUUCGGUACUUAACCCAAAUAAUUGGAAUCUAUUUAAGUUAAUGGGAAUAUUCAACACAAAACUAGAGGAAUAAUUAGAUGAAACAUUUGAACCAAUAAGUGAGAAAAUCUAACGAAAAUUAGGAACUCAUCCAACGGGAAAUGAAAAUUACUUGGAAUCUAACCCAAAAUAUUGGUAUUGAACGAACUUAGUAGGAAUACCUAACACAAAACUAGUGGACUAAUAAUUUGAAACAUGUGAACCUAAAUAUUAAAAAGCUUAACCAAAAUUGGGAACUAAUUUAACAAAAAAAAUUAUUUCGGUAUUUAACCCAAAUAAAUGAAAUCUUAUCAAAUUAAUUGGAAUAUUGAACACAAAACUAGUGGAAUAAUAAUUGAAACGUAUAAACCCACAAGGAAGAAAGUGUAACCAAAAUUAGGAACAUACUUAACCAAAAAUAAAAUUACGAAAAAUAAAUUCGGUACUUAACCCAAAUAAUUGGAAUCUAUUUAAGUUAAUGGGAAUAUUCAACACAAAACUAGAGGAAUAAUUAGAUGAAACAUUUGAACCAAUAAGUGAGAAAAUCUAACGAAAAUUAGGAACUCAUCCAACGGGAAAUGAAAAUUACUUGGAAUCUAACCCAAAAUAUUGGUAUUGAACGAACUUAGUAGGAAUACCUAACACAAAACUAGUGGACUAAUAAUUUGAAACAUGUGAACCUAAAUAUUAAAAAGCUUAACCAAAAUUGGGAACUAAUUUAACAAAAAAAAUUAUUUCGGUAUUUAACCCAAAUAAAUGAAAUCUUAUCAAAUUAAUUGGAAUAUUGAACACAAAACUAGUGGAAUAAUAAUUGAAACGUAUAAACCCACAAGGAAGAAAGUGUAACCAAAAUUAGGAACAUACUUAACCAAAAAUAAAAUUACGAAAAAUAAAUUCGGUACUUAACCCAAAUAAUUGGAAUCUAUUUAAGUUAAUGGGAAUAUUCAACACAAAACUAGAGGAAUAAUUAGAUGAAACAUUUGAACCAAUAAGUGAGAAAAUCUAACGAAAAUUAGGAACUCAUCCAACGGGAAAUGAAAAUUACUUGGAAUCUAACCCAAAAUAUUGGUAUUGAACGAACUUAGUAGGAAUACCUAACACAAAACUAGUGGACUAAUAAUUUGAAACAUGUGAACCUAAAUAUUAAAAAGCUUAACCAAAAUUGGGAACUAAUUUAACAAAAAAAAUUAUUUCGGUAUUUAACCCAAAUAAAUGAAAUCUUAUCAAAUUAAUUGGAAUAUUGAACACAAAACUAGUGGAAUAAUAAUUGAAACGUAUAAACCCACAAGGAAGAAAGUGUAACCAAAAUUAGGAACAUACUUAACCAAAAAUAAAAUUACGAAAAAUAAAUUCGGUACUUAACCCAAAUAAUUGGAAUCUAUUUAAGUUAAUGGGAAUAUUCAACACAAAACUAGAGGAAUAAUUAGAUGAAACAUUUGAACCAAUAAGUGAGAAAAUCUAACGAAAAUUAGGAACUCAUCCAACGGGAAAUGAAAAUUACUUGGAAUCUAACCCAAAAUAUUGGUAUUGAACGAACUUAGUAGGAAUACCUAACACAAAACUAGUGGACUAAUAAUUUGAAACAUGUGAACCUAAAUAUUAAAAAGCUUAACCAAAAUUGGGAACUAAUUUAACAAAAAAAAUUAUUUCGGUAUUUAACCCAAAUAAAUGAAAUCUUAUCAAAUUAAUUGGAAUAUUGAACACAAAACUAGUGGAAUAAUAAUUGAAACGUAUAAACCCACAAGGAAGAAAGUGUAACCAAAAUUAGGAACAUACUUAACCAAAAAUAAAAUUACGAAAAAUAAAUUCGGUACUUAACCCAAAUAAUUGGAAUCUAUUUAAGUUAAUGGGAAUAUUCAACACAAAACUAGAGGAAUAAUUAGAUGAAACAUUUGAACCAAUAAGUGAGAAAAUCUAACGAAAAUUAGGAACUCAUCCAACGGGAAAUGAAAAUUACUUGGAAUCUAACCCAAAAUAUUGGUAUUGAACGAACUUAGUAGGAAUACCUAACACAAAACUAGUGGACUAAUAAUUUGAAACAUGUGAACCUAAAUAUUAAAAAGCUUAACCAAAAUUGGGAACUAAUUUAACAAAAAAAAUUAUUUCGGUAUUUAACCCAAAUAAAUGAAAUCUUAUCAAAUUAAUUGGAAUAUUGAACACAAAACUAGUGGAAUAAUAAUUGAAACGUAUAAACCCACAAGGAAGAAAGUGUAACCAAAAUUAGGAACAUACUUAACCAAAAAUAAAAUUACGAAAAAUAAAUUCGGUACUUAACCCAAAUAAUUGGAAUCUAUUUAAGUUAAUGGGAAUAUUCAACACAAAACUAGAGGAAUAAUUAGAUGAAACAUUUGAACCAAUAAGUGAGAAAAUCUAACGAAAAUUAGGAACUCAUCCAACGGGAAAUGAAAAUUACUUGGAAUCUAACCCAAAAUAUUGGUAUUGAACGAACUUAGUAGGAAUACCUAACACAAAACUAGUGGACUAAUAAUUUGAAACAUGUGAACCUAAAUAUUAAAAAGCUUAACCAAAAUUGGGAACUAAUUUAACAAAAAAAAUUAUUUCGGUAUUUAACCCAAAUAAAUGAAAUCUUAUCAAAUUAAUUGGAAUAUUGAACACAAAACUAGUGGAAUAAUAAUUGAAACGUAUAAACCCACAAGGAAGAAAGUGUAACCAAAAUUAGGAACAUACUUAACCAAAAAUAAAAUUACGAAAAAUAAAUUCGGUACUUAACCCAAAUAAUUGGAAUCUAUUUAAGUUAAUGGGAAUAUUCAACACAAAACUAGAGGAAUAAUUAGAUGAAACAUUUGAACCAAUAAGUGAGAAAAUCUAACGAAAAUUAGGAACUCAUCCAACGGGAAAUGAAAAUUACUUGGAAUCUAACCCAAAAUAUUGGUAUUGAACGAACUUAGUAGGAAUACCUAACACAAAACUAGUGGACUAAUAAUUUGAAACAUGUGAACCUAAAUAUUAAAAAGCUUAACCAAAAUUGGGAACUAAUUUAACAAAAAAAAUUAUUUCGGUAUUUAACCCAAAUAAAUGAAAUCUUAUCAAAUUAAUUGGAAUAUUGAACACAAAACUAGUGGAAUAAUAAUUGAAACGUAUAAACCCACAAGGAAGAAAGUGUAACCAAAAUUAGGAACAUACUUAACCAAAAAUAAAAUUACGAAAAAUAAAUUCGGUACUUAACCCAAAUAAUUGGAAUCUAUUUAAGUUAAUGGGAAUAUUCAACACAAAACUAGAGGAAUAAUUAGAUGAAACAUUUGAACCAAUAAGUGAGAAAAUCUAACGAAAAUUAGGAACUCAUCCAACGGGAAAUGAAAAUUACUUGGAAUCUAACCCAAAAUAUUGGUAUUGAACGAACUUAGUAGGAAUACCUAACACAAAACUAGUGGACUAAUAAUUUGAAACAUGUGAACCUAAAUAUUAAAAAGCUUAACCAAAAUUGGGAACUAAUUUAACAAAAAAAAUUAUUUCGGUAUUUAACCCAAAUAAAUGAAAUCUUAUCAAAUUAAUUGGAAUAUUGAACACAAAACUAGUGGAAUAAUAAUUGAAACGUAUAAACCCACAAGGAAGAAAGUGUAACCAAAAUUAGGAACAUACUUAACCAAAAAUAAAAUUACGAAAAAUAAAUUCGGUACUUAACCCAAAUAAUUGGAAUCUAUUUAAGUUAAUGGGAAUAUUCAACACAAAACUAGAGGAAUAAUUAGAUGAAACAUUUGAACCAAUAAGUGAGAAAAUCUAACGAAAAUUAGGAACUCAUCCAACGGGAAAUGAAAAUUACUUGGAAUCUAACCCAAAAUAUUGGUAUUGAACGAACUUAGUAGGAAUACCUAACACAAAACUAGUGGACUAAUAAUUUGAAACAUGUGAACCUAAAUAUUAAAAAGCUUAACCAAAAUUGGGAACUAAUUUAACAAAAAAAAUUAUUUCGGUAUUUAACCCAAAUAAAUGAAAUCUUAUCAAAUUAAUUGGAAUAUUGAACACAAAACUAGUGGAAUAAUAAUUGAAACGUAUAAACCCACAAGGAAGAAAGUGUAACCAAAAUUAGGAACAUACUUAACCAAAAAUAAAAUUACGAAAAAUAAAUUCGGUACUUAACCCAAAUAAUUGGAAUCUAUUUAAGUUAAUGGGAAUAUUCAACACAAAACUAGAGGAAUAAUUAGAUGAAACAUUUGAACCAAUAAGUGAGAAAAUCUAACGAAAAUUAGGAACUCAUCCAACGGGAAAUGAAAAUUACUUGGAAUCUAACCCAAAAUAUUGGUAUUGAACGAACUUAGUAGGAAUACCUAACACAAAACUAGUGGACUAAUAAUUUGAAACAUGUGAACCUAAAUAUUAAAAAGCUUAACCAAAAUUGGGAACUAAUUUAACAAAAAAAAUUAUUUCGGUAUUUAACCCAAAUAAAUGAAAUCUUAUCAAAUUAAUUGGAAUAUUGAACACAAAACUAGUGGAAUAAUAAUUGAAACGUAUAAACCCACAAGGAAGAAAGUGUAACCAAAAUUAGGAACAUACUUAACCAAAAAUAAAAUUACGAAAAAUAAAUUCGGUACUUAACCCAAAUAAUUGGAAUCUAUUUAAGUUAAUGGGAAUAUUCAACACAAAACUAGAGGAAUAAUUAGAUGAAACAUUUGAACCAAUAAGUGAGAAAAUCUAACGAAAAUUAGGAACUCAUCCAACGGGAAAUGAAAAUUACUUGGAAUCUAACCCAAAAUAUUGGUAUUGAACGAACUUAGUAGGAAUACCUAACACAAAACUAGUGGACUAAUAAUUUGAAACAUGUGAACCUAAAUAUUAAAAAGCUUAACCAAAAUUGGGAACUAAUUUAACAAAAAAAAUUAUUUCGGUAUUUAACCCAAAUAAAUGAAAUCUUAUCAAAUUAAUUGGAAUAUUGAACACAAAACUAGUGGAAUAAUAAUUGAAACGUAUAAACCCACAAGGAAGAAAGUGUAACCAAAAUUAGGAACAUACUUAACCAAAAAUAAAAUUACGAAAAAUAAAUUCGGUACUUAACCCAAAUAAUUGGAAUCUAUUUAAGUUAAUGGGAAUAUUCAACACAAAACUAGAGGAAUAAUUAGAUGAAACAUUUGAACCAAUAAGUGAGAAAAUCUAACGAAAAUUAGGAACUCAUCCAACGGGAAAUGAAAAUUACUUGGAAUCUAACCCAAAAUAUUGGUAUUGAACGAACUUAGUAGGAAUACCUAACACAAAACUAGUGGACUAAUAAUUUGAAACAUGUGAACCUAAAUAUUAAAAAGCUUAACCAAAAUUGGGAACUAAUUUAACAAAAAAAAUUAUUUCGGUAUUUAACCCAAAUAAAUGAAAUCUUAUCAAAUUAAUUGGAAUAUUGAACACAAAACUAGUGGAAUAAUAAUUGAAACGUAUAAACCCACAAGGAAGAAAGUGUAACCAAAAUUAGGAACAUACUUAACCAAAAAUAAAAUUACGAAAAAUAAAUUCGGUACUUAACCCAAAUAAUUGGAAUCUAUUUAAGUUAAUGGGAAUAUUCAACACAAAACUAGAGGAAUAAUUAGAUGAAACAUUUGAACCAAUAAGUGAGAAAAUCUAACGAAAAUUAGGAACUCAUCCAACGGGAAAUGAAAAUUACUUGGAAUCUAACCCAAAAUAUUGGUAUUGAACGAACUUAGUAGGAAUACCUAACACAAAACUAGUGGACUAAUAAUUUGAAACAUGUGAACCUAAAUAUUAAAAAGCUUAACCAAAAUUGGGAACUAAUUUAACAAAAAAAAUUAUUUCGGUAUUUAACCCAAAUAAAUGAAAUCUUAUCAAAUUAAUUGGAAUAUUGAACACAAAACUAGUGGAAUAAUAAUUGAAACGUAUAAACCCACAAGGAAGAAAGUGUAACCAAAAUUAGGAACAUACUUAACCAAAAAUAAAAUUACGAAAAAUAAAUUCGGUACUUAACCCAAAUAAUUGGAAUCUAUCCAAGUUAAUGGGAAUAUUCAACGCAAAACUAGAGGAGUAAUUAGAUGAAACAUUUGAACCAAUAAGUGAGAAAAUCUAACGAAAAUUAGGAACUCAUCUAACGGGAAAUGAAAAUUACUUAGAAUCUAACCCAAAAUAUUGGUAUUGAACGAACUUAGUAGGAAUACCUAACACAAAACUAGUGGACUGAUAAUUUGAAACAUGUGAACUUAAAUAUUAAAAAGCUUAACCAAAAUUGGGAACUAAUUUAACAAAAAAAAUUAUUUCGGUAUUUAACCCAAAUAAAUGAAAUCUUACCAAGCGAAUUGGAAUAUUGAACGUAAAAUUUGUGAAAUAAUAGUUGAAACAUAUAAACCAAAAAGGGAGAAAGUGUAACCAAAUUUAGGAACUUAUUUAACGAGAAAUGAAUUUACUUGGAAUCUAACCUAAAAAAUUUGUAUUUAACGAAUUUAGUAGGAAUAUUAUACAUAAAACUAGUGGAUUGAGAAGUGGAAACAAAUAAACCAAUUAUUGAGAAAGUUUAACGAAAAUUAGGGACAUGUGAAAUUAAUUUGAAACGUCCACCUAAUAUAUUGAUAUUUAACCAAAAAAAUUGGAACAUGAUUAUUUUACUCUUUUUUUAACUUUUUUUAACUUUUUUUUUAAAUUAAAAAUAUUUUUCUCACUCAAAUCUUUUUAAUAUUAAUUGUUUAUAAAUUUCUUUAUUUUUUUCACAUUAAAAAUAAAUUUUUUAAAAAUUAUUAGAUGAACAAAAAGUAAAAUACCGGUUGUUCAAGUUUUUUUUUCACUGUUGAAGCAGCUGUAUUACAUACAGCGCGGUACUAUAUGAUGACUCAUACAAAAGUUUAAAGUUAACAAAUCUUUAAAUCUCAGUAUGUAGAAUCUGAUAUAAUACCUUUUUUGGGGAAAUAAAAUGAAAGAAAAUCAAGUCGUUUCAACUUUAGCUAAUCAACGUUGGCGUCUAGCUAGGCUUCCAAGUUCCAUCGACAUUUUCAAUAUGUGAUCAAUGAGGAAUUCUAGAAUAAAAAGAAGAAACCCAAUGGUCAACAGAAUAAUAUUUUUUAAGCACAAGCACUCAAUUGAAAUAGUCACCCCUCUUGCUUCUAUAUAAGCAAACGAAAGCAUGUCUUUAGAAGAGUGUAUCUAAACAAUACUGCGUUUAAAUCUCUGUAAAUUAAAAUGGAAUUUCUGAAGAAUCUUUUUACAGCACCUCUGCAUCGUUUCAUCCACAAAGACUUCCAUGAAGUUGUCUCCAGGAUGACUCUCACCGACAAAUUUCUCUUCCUCGUAAAAUAUCUCUCUUCAUGCUUGCAUGCAGCCUCUAACUAUUUUAGUUUGUUAAACAUUAAUAAUAUUGACUGUCAUUCUUAUAUUUUGUUGUUGAAUUUUUGGUUUCUUAUUAUUUAUGUGUCGUGCUGAGGCAUAUGCAGAUUGUGCACUCCAUGGAUAAGCUGGGAAUAUUAUGGCAUCGGUUGCCCGUGUUUGUUGGUUUAUUUUAUCUGGGACUUCGACGACACCUUCACCAGGAGUACAACUUGUUCAACGUCGGGAAAACCCCGGCAGGUGUUCGGUUUAAUCCGGCGGAUUAUCCGUACCGGACCGCCAAUGGCGAAUAUAACGAUCCCUUCAAUGAAGGUGCUGGCAGUGAAGGAAC